ACGGCGAGUGAAGCGGUAACAGCUCAAAUUUGAAAUCUGGCAUCACGGUCCGAGUUGUAAUUUGUAGAGGAUGCUUCGAGCAUGGUCUGGCCUAAGUUCCUUGGAACAGGACGUCAUAGAGGGUGAGAAUCCCGUAUGCGGCCAGGUGCCUACGCUCAUGUGAAGCUCCUUCGACGAGUCGAGUUGUUUGGGAAUGCAGCUCAAAAUGGGUGGUAAAUUUCAUCUAAAGCUAAAUAUUGGCCAGAGACCGAUAGCGCACAAGUAGAGUGAUCGAAAGAUGAAAAGCACUUUGGAAAGAGAGUUAAACAGUACGUGAAAUUGUUGAAAGGGAAGCGCUUGCAACCAGACUUGCGCGCGGCCGAUCAUCCGGUGUUCUCACCGGUGCACUCGGCCGUGCUCAGGCCAGCAUCGGUUUUGGCGGCUGGAUAAAGGCCCUAGGAAUGUAGCUCCUCUCGGGGAGUGUUAUAGCCUAGGGUGCAAUGCAGCCUGCUGGGACCGAGGACCGCGCU
This 509-nucleotide ribosomal RNA is filed under the name uncultured Geomyces. RNAcentral's name for it is "eukaryotic LSU rRNA". It matches the Rfam family "Eukaryotic large subunit ribosomal RNA", at positions 86 to 601 of the family's 3401-position model. The record is from RNAcentral. Lineage: Eukaryota; Fungi; Ascomycota; Leotiomycetes; Myxotrichaceae.